GAUCAUUUUGUGUCUGUUUGGUCGAUUUCUGUCUUUUCAUGUUGUUUUUGGUUCCAUUUUGAUAAUUUUGCAUCUGUUUAAGUUUUUCCUGUUCCAUUUUACUCACUUGAAUCAUUUUAUGCCUCUUUAUUGUUUGUUUGUUUUAUGUUUCAUGUAAAUACAGUCACCAAACAAGAAUGAAAGGGAGCAGAAAGAAGACAAGUCUUAUUAUGUCUGCCCCUUUUUCUCCAGAAAUCAAUUACAAAAAGUGAACUUAAAAACAACAACAACAAAGAAAAAAAACAUAAAAAUAUAUAUGUGAUUAUUUAUGUGAUUGUUAUUGUCUCUUUUGGGUGAUUUUGUGCGUCAUAUGGUUGGUUUUGUGUUUUCACACUUGUUGUCUCACUCAGUCAUCAAACCCUGCUCUUGUCCUUUAACUUUGUCCUGCACAGAGACCAGUAGCGACCCUCUAGAGGGCUGCAGUCAGCGAGGAGACAAGAGGAAAGCCUCUGAUGCUGCUGAAGCUCCGUCCAAAAAGAGGAGGCUUGAACCGGUGCAGGACAGAACUAAGCUGUCAGAAGAGGAGCAGAGAGAACAAUUCCAUGGAAAAUACGAGCAGCAACAUAAACUCGGAGUUGGAGGUUGUGGGUCCGUGUUCGCUGGGCGCCGCAAAUCGGAUGAUUUGCCGGUGGCGAUAAAACACAUCCCAAAAGACAACGUGCCGUGCAAACACGUGGACCACAACAGGGAGAAGCUCUCCAUCGAAGUAGCUGCUAUGCUGAAGAUUCAGGCUGCUACAGCUGGAUUGAUGGGGACGUCAGCACCGAUAUCCCUGCUGGACUGGUACGACACGGGCCAAGAGCUGAUCCUGGUUCUAGAGAGACCAGUUCCCUCAGAAGACCUCUUCGAUUAUGUGGUGGGCAAUGGAGGCUUGCUGGAGGAGGAGGCAAAGGUAGGCUGCUGGGAAGAUCCUGGUUCUGAGGUUAAAUCCAUAGUGGGCAGCAUCAUCGAUCAACAACUGAUUACAGAAAACAUUAUUUAUUAGGUUAUGUAGUUAACAAAGGUAGGACGUUGUCAGUGCAACAUUCAGAAAACAUUUUAAGGUUAUUAUUCCCUAAUAGUGUCUGCAGAGAAGAUUUUUCUGUGUUUAGAGAGAACAUUCAUGGAGAUGAAAAAACAAAAAACAUUACAAGAACUUUGCAGAACACUAUCAAAGAUUUUAGAAUAAAAACCUUCUGUCUGGCUUUAAAAACAGUCUGAGCAUCAUUCAGCUCAGUCUGAAGAUGUGAAUGCCUUCCGACAUCCAUUAACCACCACAGUAGUCUUUGUCAUGGUGCCCGUUGCUCGCUAUACUCCCACAAUGCUCUCUGCUUGCAAACACUGAACUGCCUGUUUAACAGGAAGAGACUCCACCUACCUUCUUCUGCCACAUUGGUCAACAACAUUUUAAUGUUUUUUUAAUAAAAAAAAUAAUCUAUUAAACGUUACUAUUACCAUUCCUUGGUCUCCAUUAAUGAAGCAAAAUUUUGGUGCUGCUUAGAAGUUACAAAAAUUUGAAGGAAAACAUCUUAAUUUGGGUCCAUCUUGUCUUGACUUGAAGAGUCUUUGCACUUCCUGUUUUAUUUAUCAGUCUUUUCUCUGUCUGUCCCAGAUCAUUGUGAAACAGCUUGUGGAUGCUGCCAUUGACUUGGAGGACAAAGGCAUCUUUCACCGGGACAUUAAAUGCGAAAACAUUCUGAUUGAGACUGGAUCAGAAGUCCCGCGUGUUCGACUCAUCGACUUCGGGCUGAGCUGUUCUGCAAAGAAGCGAUCGUGCUAUCGCAAAUUUUAUGGCACUCACGAUCACACCCCUCCAGAGUGGUACUGCCGCCGUACCUACCGGGCCGGGCCCACCACGGUGUAUCAAGUGGGGAUUGUGCUUUUUGUGAUGACCCACAGAGUUAACUUUGAGACCACCAUGUACUUCGGAGAAAGGGUGCAGAUCAGCGACAAAGUGUCCAAAGAUGAGAAAAACAAACCUGUGAGCAGACGUUCAGCUACUCUUUGACGGGAUGCAGCCGUCGCCUUCAUCUUUCUUGUUUCUCUGCAGACUGCCGGGAUUUCUUAGAGAAGUGCUUCACGCUGGUCCCUGAACAUUGGCCCAAACUGAGGGAGCUCCUUCAUCAUCCAUGGCUGAGAUAAAAACACCACACUCACACUGCACCUCAUCACAAACACGAUACACCUUAACUAUCGUCCCAUGUCGUUCACGCCAAAUGCAUUUUGUCAUCUUGUCAAAAGUGACAGAAUUUACUGAAUUGAAAAAAAUUAAAAUACAAUAGGGUCAUUCCAUGCCAAAUCACCCAGAAUUAGAAAAAAUCCCCAGGUCAUCAUCUCAGAAGAUUCUGAAAAAAAUUACACUUGUAGGCAUAUCAGAGAAACUGAGAAAUCCCAAAUUUUAGCUACAAACCUCUAAUACUUUGGAAGUUACAGCAAAAAUUGUCUCCCCAAGUUACAGACUUGGGGAGACAAGAGAGUUUCAGUCGGACCUUCAUGUAUUCAUCGAUGCAAAAAGAACAAGUUGUACCGUCGUCUUCCCAAGUCUGCAUGAAGUCUUGUAGACUUUGGGAGGUGACGAAGUCUACGAAUUCUUAAGUACUUGUCGAUGAUGAAGGUAAAUGUCGUACCAUCAUCUUCCUAAGUCAGUGCAUAUUCAGCAGACUUUGGAAGAUGAUGAAAUUUUUGUUUCUCAGACUCGCUUGCAGGAAGGUUUAUGUUGUAAUGCAGUCAUCCAUGUCUGUGUGGACUCUUGGAUAUUUAUUAAGUAUUGAAAAGUGUAUCUCAUGUAACCUUACAGACUCGACAAUGCGGAAAGUAUAAAUCGCGCCGUCAUUGAAAUUUACAUCACUCAAGUCUGCAUAUACUCUGGUAGACUUUGAAAGUUACCAGAACAUUCCAAACCGAACAUACAUGUCAAUUUUUAACAUA
Long non-coding RNA from Acanthochromis polyacanthus (spiny chromis), 2946 nucleotides. RefSeq lists it as uncharacterized. NCBI's taxonomy places the organism in Eukaryota, Metazoa, Chordata, Actinopteri, Pomacentridae. The transcript is spliced from 5 exons. The record is from RefSeq and is a predicted model, not a curated record.